RNAcentral lists this ribosomal RNA (923 nucleotides) under uncultured organism. RNAcentral's name for it is "bacterial SSU rRNA". It matches the Rfam family "Bacterial small subunit ribosomal RNA", at positions 1 to 917 of the family's 1533-position model. The record is from RNAcentral.
UUCCAGACUUUGAUCAUGGCUCAGGAUGAACGCUAGCUACAGGCUUAACACAUGCAAGUCGAGGGGAAACGACAUCGAAAGCUUGCUUUUGAUGGGCGUCGACCGGCGCACGGGUGAGUAACGCGUAUCCAACCUGCCCAUCACUUGGGGAUAACCUUGCGAAAGUAAGACUAAUACCCAAUGAUAUCUCUAGAAGACAUCUGAAAGAGAUUAAAGAUUUAUCGGUGAUGGAUGGGGAUGCGUCUGAUUAGCUUGUUGGCGGGGUAACGGCCCACCAAGGCGACGAUCAGUAGGGGUUCUGAGAGGAAGGUCCCCCACAUUGGAACUGAGACACGGUCCAAACUCCUACGGGAGGCAGCAGUGAGGAAUAUUGGUCAAUGGACGAGAGUCUGAACCAGCCAAGUAGCGUGCAGGAUGACGGCCCUAUGGGUUGUAAACUGCUUUUAUAAGGGAAUAAAGUGAGUCUCGUGAGACUUUUUGCAUGUACCUUAUGAAUAAGGACCGGCUAAUUCCGUGCCAGCAGCCGCGGUAAUACGGAAGGUCCGGGCGUUAUCCGGAUUUAUUGGGUUUAAAGGGAGCGUAGGCCGGAGAUUAAGCGUGUUGUGAAAUGUAGACGCUCAACGUCUGCACUGCAGCGCGAACUGGUUUCCUUGAGUACGCACAAAGUGGGCGGAAUUCGUGGUGUAGCGGUGAAAUGCUUAGAUGUCACGAAGAACUCCGAUUGCGAAGGCAGCUCACUGGAGCGCAACUGACGCUGAAGCUCGAAAGUGCGGGUAUCGAACAGGAUUAGAUACCCUGGUAGUCCGCACGGUAAACGAUGGAUGCCCGCUGUUGGUCUGAAUAGGUCAGCGGCCAAGCGAAAGCAUUAAGCAUCCCACCUGGGGAGUACGCCGGCAACGGUGCAACUCAAAUGAAUUGACGGA